UCCGGUCAAAAUUGUUCGGCAACCUUGUUUGUGUCUUCUUACCGAAGAGUGUGAACUAUCAUUUCUCACUUAAUUGCCGCGCGGCGGUGCGUGCGGUUUCGUCUUGUCUGAAAAAUUAGUUGUAUCUGCACCUAGUUUGGUUGUGAUUCUGGCAUGUUAGACCAUCUUUGCUGAUCCAAUGCUUCAUAUGCAGUCUGACAUGCAAUAUGUAUUCAGAUGUUAUCCAUCAUUCUUCUGCAGGUUGCAUUUAAAGAUAAAAUUGUUAAUCCUGUUGCUGGGUUCUGUUUGGGUGGUUGCUGCUUGCUUGUACUUGGGAAGCCAAAAUGUGUACUGUCAGUGUGAGAAUUGUAUGGCUUUUUCUCACAUUUUGGGAUUGUGAUUCUGGCUGAGGAGUCUUAAGCGCAGGUUUGACAGGUUUGUUUGUAAAUAUUGUUUGUUUCAAGGUUUGUGGAAUGUCUUGCCAAAAUCGUUGUGGUUCUAAGUAUAUCAUCAAUUGAAAGUUUUCCUAUUUACAGGUUUUCCUUAAUUGGUAUGGUUUUUAUUAAAGUAAUUUUUCUUCUUUUUUUUUACUGUUUGACAGUUGUCUAAUUGCCUAGAUAGUGUUUGUUGCAUUUUUCUUCAUCUGGAACACUGGGCUUUCAUAUUUGUGAAUUAAACAAUUCCUUUUUUCUCUUUUAUUCAACAUGUGAGCUUAGGCUACAAGCUUUUUCUGAAAACGAUAUGGGACUGUCUUUAUUCGUUCACUUUUCUGAAAAUGCUGAUGGAUUUCAUUUCCUUAUGUUACUUUGGUUGGAAUGGUUAUUUGGGUUAUUUGUCAUGCAUAGCAUUUAUUUUCCUAAUUUACCAUGAAUGUUGUUGCUUUGAUGUUGCAGUUGCCUUUUUCUUUGUAUGGAACAUUUGGCUACGUUAUCUACGAGAUUAUGACUGGUGAAUUGUCUCUAGCCGCGGUCUUGCGAAUGGUUUUAGGAGUGUGGCCGUCCGAUUUGGGCUGAAUUCAGAUCCAUUAGGUUGUAGGUGGUUUUGUUGGAUGUUUCUAUUUGUUCAUUAUUAACAGGGCGGUCUAGUGCCCAACGAAUAUACCGGUGAGAUCGUAGAAAUCAAGCUACAAUACAUUACGAUUACAAGUGGAAGAUGGCAAUCCUUGUCAUAAAGAUUAAUCCUGGCAACGAAUCGGAAAUGUAUAAUGAUGGGUUUUUCCUGGUCGAAAAAUGGAUGUUAGUUCGAGGAUCGUCCUGAGAAUUUACAUUGUUCCACAUUUUUUCAAUAUUAAAACUUUCUUGUUGAAAUGUUUAAAACAAAUUUGUUUCGAUGGUUGUUAUCUGUGACCCUGUUUACGUUGACUUGUGAUAUGUACGUAGCGGCACAGAUGCUGAUGUGUAUACCGGAAAAGGGACGUGGUAUCAAGUUUCUCAUCGGACGUAUUGUAUAUCCACUGUUAACUCUUUUUAGUGUUUUGUGCUAACUGUCAAGGUUUUUUUUUUUCACGCCUUCCGUUAUUAACCCAUAAUAUCCUGGCAGGAAAUUUCCGAUGGUGUAAUUCAGAUUCUUCUUUAUACAUUAAAUGAAACUAUAAAUUGUAUGUUUUAUAUUCAAUAAAAAAAGUUUUGAAAAUUA
RNAcentral lists this long non-coding RNA (1614 nucleotides) under Daphnia magna. RNAcentral's name for it is "uncharacterized LOC116929889, transcript variant X1". The record is from RNAcentral. Lineage: Eukaryota; Metazoa; Arthropoda; Branchiopoda; Diplostraca; Daphniidae.